CGAGAAAGGGGCUUCGGCCCUGAGUAAAGCGGCGGACGGGUGCGUAACACGUGGAUAAUCUGCCCUUCGGCGGGGGAUAACAGUUCGAAAGGACUGAUAAUACCGCAUACGGUGACGGAGACUCAGGGAUCCGUCAAGAAAGAGGGCGCCCGCAAGGGGCUCUCACCGGAGGAUGAGUCCGCGGCCCAUCAGCUUGUUGGCGGGGUAACGGCCCACCAAGGCGAAGACGGGUAGCUGGUCUGAGAGGAUGACCAGCCACACUGGGACUGAGACACGGCCCAGACUCCUACGGGAGGCAGCAGUGGGGAAUAUUGGACAAUGGGCGAAAGCCUGAUCCAGCCAUGCCGCGUGAGUGAUGAAGGCCUUCGGGUCGUAAAGCUCUGUGGGGAGGGACGAAAAGCGGGUUGCUAAUACCAGCCUGAAUUGACGGUACCUCCUUAGCAAGCACCGGCUAACUCCGUGCCAGCAGCCGCGGUAAUACGGAGGGUGCAAACG
RNAcentral lists this ribosomal RNA (495 nucleotides) under uncultured bacterium. RNAcentral describes it as "bacterial SSU rRNA". It matches the Rfam family "Bacterial small subunit ribosomal RNA", at positions 67 to 540 of the family's 1533-position model. The record is from RNAcentral.